Molecule: ribosomal RNA, 482 nt
Filed under: uncultured bacterium
Lineage: Bacteria
Description: partial 16S ribosomal RNA
Rfam family: Bacterial small subunit ribosomal RNA
Source: RNAcentral
AUUGAACGCUGGCGGCAUGCUUUACACAUGCAAGUCGAACGGUAACAGGCCGCAAGGUGCUGACGAGUGGCGAACGGGUGAGUAAUGCAUCGGAACGGGCCCAGUCGUGGGGGAUAACUACUCGAAAGAGUAGCUAAUACCGCAUACGAGCUAUGGAUGAAAGCGGGGGACCGUAAUGCCUCGCGCGAUUGUAGCGGCCGAUGUCAGAUUAGGUAGUUGGUGGGGUAAAGGCUCACCAAGCCAACGAUCUGUAGCUGGUCUGAGAGGACGACCAGCCACACUGGGACUGAGACACGGCCCAGACUCCUACGGGAGGCAGCAGUGGGGAAUUUUGGACAAUGGGCGAAAGCCUGAUCCAGCAAUGCCGCGUGCAGGAAGAAGGUCUUCGGGUUGUAAACUGCUUUUGUACGGAACGAAAAGGCUCUGGUUAAUACCCGGAGCUAAUGACGGUACCGAAAGAAUAAGCACCGGCUAACUACGUG